RNAcentral lists this ribosomal RNA (540 nucleotides) under Kocuria palustris. Its description in RNAcentral is "bacterial SSU rRNA". It matches the Rfam family "Bacterial small subunit ribosomal RNA", at positions 817 to 1354 of the family's 1533-position model. Lineage: Bacteria; Bacillati; Actinomycetota; Actinomycetes; Micrococcales; Micrococcaceae. The record is from RNAcentral.
UAGGUGUGGGGGACAUUCCACGUUUUCCGCGCCGUAGCUAACGCAUUAAGUGCCCCGCCUGGGGAGUACGGCCGCAAGGCUAAAACUCAAAGGAAUUGACGGGGGCCCGCACAAGCGGCGGAGCAUGCGGAUUAAUUCGAUGCAACGCGAAGAACCUUACCAAGGCUUGACAUAUACCGGAUCGUUCCAGAGAUGGUUCUUCCCCUUUGGGGUCGGUAUACAGGUGGUGCAUGGUUGUCGUCAGCUCGUGUCGUGAGAUGUUGGGUUAAGUCCCGCAACGAGCGCAACCCUCGUUCCAUGUUGCCAGCACGUGAUGGUGGGGACUCAUGGGAGACUGCCGGGGUCAACUCGGAGGAAGGUGGGGAUGACGUCAAAUCAUCAUGCCCCUUAUGUCUUGGGCUUCACGCAUGCUACAAUGGCCGGUACAAAGGGUUGCGAUACUGUGAGGUGGAGCUAAUCCCAAAAAGCCGGUCUCAGUUCGGAUUGAGGUCUGCAACUCGACCUCAUGAAGUCGGAGUCGCUAGUAAUCGCAGAUCAGCA